RNAcentral lists this ribosomal RNA (492 nucleotides) under uncultured bacterium. RNAcentral's name for it is "partial 16S ribosomal RNA". It matches the Rfam family "Bacterial small subunit ribosomal RNA", at positions 29 to 507 of the family's 1533-position model. The record is from RNAcentral.
AUUGAACGCUGGCGGCAUGCUUUACACAUGCAAGUCGAACGGUAACAGGCCUUCGGGUGCUGACGAGUGGCGAACGGGUGAGUAAUGCAUCGGAACGUACCCAGGGGUGGGGGAUAACGCAGCGAAAGCUGUGCUAAUACCGCAUGUGAUCUGAGGAUGAAAGCGGGGGACCGAGCAGCAAUGUUUGGCCUCGCGCCUUUGGAGCGGCCGAUGUCGGAUUAGCUAGUUGGUGGGGUAAAGGCCUACCAAGGCGACGAUCCGUAGCUGGUCUGAGACGACGACCAGCCACACUGGAACUGAGACACGGCCCAGACUCCUACGGGAGGCAGCAGUGGGGAAUUUUGGACAAUGGGCGCAAGCCUGAUCCAGCAAUGCCGCGUGCGGGAAGAAGGCCUUCGGGUUGUAAACCGCUUUUGGCAGGAACGAAACGGUGUCCGCUAAUACCGGGCGCUAAUGACGGUACCUGCAGAAUAAGCACCGGCUAACUACGUG